RNAcentral lists this ribosomal RNA (232 nucleotides) under uncultured Pseudomonadales bacterium. RNAcentral's name for it is "partial 16S ribosomal RNA". It matches the Rfam family "Bacterial small subunit ribosomal RNA", at positions 99 to 334 of the family's 1533-position model. Lineage: Bacteria; Pseudomonadati; Pseudomonadota; Gammaproteobacteria; Pseudomonadales. The record is from RNAcentral.
CGGACGGGUGAGUAAUGCCUAGGAAUCUGCCUGGUAGUGGGGGACAACGUUUCGAAAGGAACGCUAAUACCGCAUACGUCCUACGGGAGAAAGCAGGGGACCUUCGGGCCUUGCGCUAUCAGAUGAGCCUAGGUCGGAUUAGCUAGUUGGUGAGGUAAUGGCUCACCAAGGCGACGAUCCGUAACUGGUCUGAGAGGAUGAUCAGUAACACUGGAACUGAGACACGGUCCAG